RNAcentral lists this ribosomal RNA (433 nucleotides) under uncultured bacterium. RNAcentral describes it as "partial 16S ribosomal RNA". It matches the Rfam family "Bacterial small subunit ribosomal RNA", at positions 28 to 507 of the family's 1533-position model. The record is from RNAcentral.
GACGAACGCUGGCGGCGUGCUUAACACAUGCAAGUCGAACGAGACCUUCGGUUCUAGUGGCGCACGGGUGCGUAACGCGUGGGAACCUGCCCUUAGGUUCGGAAUAACUCCCCGAAAGGGGUGCUAAUACCGGAUAAUGUCUUCGGACCAAAGAUUUAUCGCCUUUGGAUGGGCCCGCGUUGGAUUAGCUAGUUGGUAGGGUAAAAGCCUACCAAGGCGACGAUCCAUAGCUGGUCUGAGAGGAUGAUCAGCCACACUGGGACUGAGACACGGCCCAGACUCCUACGGGAGGCAGCAGUGGGGAAUAUUGGACAAUGGGCGAAAGCCUGAUCCAGCAAUGCCGCGUGAGUGAUGAAGGCCUUAGGGUUGUAAAGCUCUUUUACCCGGGAUGAUAAUGACAGUACCGGGAGAAUAAGCUCCGGCUAACUCCGUG